RNAcentral lists this ribosomal RNA (587 nucleotides) under uncultured bacterium. RNAcentral's name for it is "bacterial SSU rRNA". It matches the Rfam family "Bacterial small subunit ribosomal RNA", at positions 338 to 917 of the family's 1533-position model. The record is from RNAcentral.
CCUACGGGAGGCAGCAGUGGGGAAUAUUGGACAAUGGGGGGAACCCUGAUCCAGCCAUGCCGCGUGUGUGAAGAAGGCCCUCGGGUUGUAAAGCACUUUCAGCGAGGAAGAACGCCUAGCGGUUAAUACCCGCUAGGAAAGACAUCACUCGCAGAAGAAGCACCGGCUAACUCCGUGCCAGCAGCCGCGGUAAUACGGAGGGUGCAAGCGUUAAUCGGAAUUACUGGGCGUAAAGCGCGCGUAGGUGGCUUGAUAAGCCGGUUGUGAAAGCCCCGGGCUCAACCUGGGAACGGCAUCCGGAACUGUCAAGCUAGAGUGCAGGAGAGGAAGGUAGAAUUCCCGGUGUAGCGGUGAAAUGCGUAGAGAUCGGGAGGAAUACCAGUGGCGAAGGCGGCCUUCUGGACUGACACUGACACUGAGGUGCGAAAGCGUGGGUAGCAAACAGGAUUAGAUACCCUGGUAGUCCACGCCGUAAACGAUGUCGACCAGCCGUUGGGUGCCUAGCGCACUUUGUGGCGAAGUUAACGCGAUAAGUCGACCGCCUGGGGAGUACGGCCGCAAGGUUAAAACUCAAAUGAAUUGACGGA